UGCAAAAAGGAGAAAGGAAUUAGAAUUAGGACUUACCUAUGCUUAAAGGCGUUCAAGAGAAACUAGGUCUCAUGCCUUUAGAAUGCUAAACUUGUUGAAGAGGAACUAGGCCUCAUGCCUUUAUAAUGCUAAAUCUUAAAGUUGACUUCAAAGGACCCCUAAUCUAAACUCAUUAUUUGUCCAUUCCUCUUAUUGUGUUGUGAACUUUUUGAUGUUUGCUCUUGUGUGAUAGGGAUUCCAUCUUGAGAUAGUAAGAAGGACCAUUGUCAUGAGUAGCCAAGUAAAGAGAGACAAUCCAAAUGGAAAUCCUAGGAGCUUGAAUCCAAAUAUUGUGUGAUUACUUGUUGUUUGCUAUGUCCAAAGGAAAGGAGCAUCUUGAAUCAUCUUUAUGAUCUCAAGAAAAGGAACUCCAAGGGUUUCAUCUUCUCUCUUAUCCUUGUAUGCUUUAGGACUAGCCCUUCUCUUCUUCUCCUCACUCUAACCCAAGCCAAACUCAUUUUGUGCAAACUUUGACAUUAUUUUCAAAUUAGAAACCUAGGCCUUAUGCCUUUGACUUUUCAAAAUCUUUUCAUUAAUACUCAUUGUGAAUGAAUCUUAAUUAGUGCAAACUUUGACAUUAUUUUCAAAUUAGAAACCUAGGCCUUAUGCCUUUGACUUUUCAAAAUCUUUUCAUUAAUACUCAUUGUGAAUGAAUCUUAAUUCAACUUUGACUUCAUUUUGUAAAUAAGUCUAACUUGUAAAUACAACUCACUUCAAGUUGUUUUUGUGGUUCCAAUGGUCACCUUUGUUUAAACCUUUCAUAAACAUUAACCAUAGGUUUGAGUUAUCAUAGUGGUUGAUGUAAACCUCACCUUAUCCUUAGUGAUUGGACUAUAAGUCUUCCAUACUUAUUAUAGGGUUAACCCCUCACUAUUAUGUUGAAGCUCUCCUCACAUGGUGGAUUAUUGGUUUAGGUUGAGUUUUCUCCCUUUGAUAACAAAAGACCUUGAGGCCUUUGUUCAAAUCAAUUCACCAAUCUUUGUGAUUUUUACCGCGAACUACGAGGUUUUGAUCCUACCUUUUUGAUGGUACAUAGGCAAUGGAUUCAUCCAUUCAAACAACAAAAUUGUAAAUAUAACAUAUUCUUUUCUCAUCCCCCCAAUCUUUUGCACAUAUUUUCACAAAUACCAACCUACAACACAUGUUUGCAAAAAGAGGUUCCCUUAGAGUAUUAAGGAUGUUUUGGGUGCAUAAAACCUUCCUAUCUCAUAACUAACCCCCUUACCUAGAUCUCUGACAUUUUUAUUAGUUUUUGAUUUGAUAAAACUUCUUACUUGGCUUUUGUUCACUUUUUAGCCUUUCCUUUGGACAAAUAAAAGUGUGGUGACGACUCGAAUUUGUAUGUUUACUUUUGGUUUAGUCAAUAAACCUAAAGGUAACGAAAUCCCCGCUACACAAACAAUCAAUGUGCAAAAGUUCUAACAGUCUAGAGGUAGAAACAACAUCUUUCACUUUGAAAUAUGUUUUAGAAAAUUUGCCUUUCUGACAUGCUUCACAAAGAGUAUCUGAAGCAAACUUCAGGUUAGGUAAGCCUCUGACUAAUCCAAGUUUAUUUAGCUGAGAAAUCAUUCUCAUGCUAACAUGGACCAAACAUCCAUGCCAUACACAUUGCUCCUCAUUAACAAACAUUAAGCAUUUUACAUUUUGAUCCUUAAGAUCAUAAAGUCUAAUUUUAUAAAUGUUAUUCUUCUUCUUCCCGUUAAAAAGGAUUGUGCCAUCUUUCUGACUAACAACUUUACAAUACUUUUGAUUAAAAAGGAUAUCAUAACCAUUUUCACUAAGUUGACUAAUAGAAAAUAAGUUAUGCAUCAAACUAUCAACUAAAAGAAAAUUAUUAAUAGAAUGAAGUUUACCAUUACUAACAGUUCCAGAGCCAAUGAUCUUUCCUUUCUAGUUUCCUCCAAACCCAACAAAGCCUUCAGGCUUAAGUUCCAAAUCUUGGAACAUAGACCUUAUGCCUGUCAUAUGUCGCGAGCAUCAACUGCUCAGGUGUCAUACCCCAAAAUUUACCCUCCCUUUUUUUUCCGUUUGAAUAUCUCAUUUUCAUACAUUAAAUCAUAUCAUGCAUGACCAUUGUUUGGUCAUGGUAUCACAAGCAUGGCCACAUUAUGGUUUGUAUCUUAACACUAGGGUUUCAUCUUGCUUUGCUUAUAAACUAACCCUAACUUCAAUAAGAGAUGAUACUUGGUUGUUCUUGUUACUCAUAUAGGUAAUCAUACUCCAAAUCAAGGCAAGAUAAAGGCCUUUUGAUCAAGGGAAAUGCAAGUUUUCUCAUUGUGAUUGUUUCCAUGCCACAUCACUCAAUCUUUAAGAUAUUCCCAAGAUCACUCAAGCCCUAACCAAAUUUUUAUCAAGGGUUGCUUAUUCUAUCAUCAUGGUGGCUUGAAAUGCAAGAAAACAUCAAGUUUGCACAAAGGGGUAUAGGUUGGUUUGACUUAAUUUUUAAGUAUGCCAUACCUUUGGUCCAAACUCCAUGACUCCUUUAAUUUUAUCCAAUUACCAAGAUUCUUUGAGCCAAAUGUGACUUUUGAGCCCCUCUCUAACUUUUAUUCAAGGGUAAACCAUAAAUGAAAUCAUUAAGGACCUCAUUUAUGCAAAGGACUAAGUUCCCAAAAUAGGCUAAAACCUUACCAUGACCACUACUUUUCGACCUUGCCAUUUUCAGCUCAAGUACUCUUUUGAUCCCAUUCCUUUUGCAUGUUGUUAAGCUUAUGUAAAAGAUAAGUUGGCCCAAGUUUGGCUCAAAAUGCAUGAGGGAAUAAAAAGUUAUGGUGUCAUUAACUUGGGACCUCAAAAUGAUUAAACAUGCCUCAAACUGCUUGACCAAUUGCUCAGCCUAAAACUCAGGUCACGACCCCAACUUCCCAACCAUGUAACUUCCACCUCAAACAUCCUUUGGACUUGGUUCUUUUGGCAUUAUGUUUUACUCCAUGAAGAGAUCAUUUGUCUCAUAUAAAAAAAUGGAAAACACAUAAGUGUAGUAGUAUUGGACCAAGCAUGAACAUGGUAACCUGCGUUCUUCUUGGAUUUGACUUCUCCACCCCCCCGCCCCGUUUCCAUGAUCCAUCAGACUCUUGUGGUAUUGCAUGAUGAGUAUUUUAAAAAAGAAAAGAGCCCAACUUUUUAUCAAGGGUUUCUUAUUAUAUCAUCAUGGCGGCUUGAAAUACAAGAAAACAUCAAAUUUGCACAAUGGGGUAGAGGUUAGUUUGACCUAAUUGCAAGUAUGCCAUGCCUUUGGUCCAAACUCCAUGACUCCUUCAAUUUUAUCCAAUUACCAAGAUUCUUUGAGCCAAAUGUUCCUUUUGAGCCACUCUACAACUUUGAUUCAAGGGUAAAACAUCAAUUAAAUCAUUAAGGAUCUCAUUUAUGCAAAGGACCAAGUUUCCAAAAUGGGCCAAAACCAUACCCAUGAACACUACUUUUCACCCUUGCCAUUUUCAGCUCAAGUAUUCUUUUUGCAUGUUGUUAAGCUUAUGUAAAAGAUCAUCUGUCCCAACUUUGGCUCAAAAUGCACGAGAAAAUCAAAAGUUAUGGUGUCAUCAACUUGGGACCUCAAAAUGACCAAACAUGCCUCAAACUCCUUGACCAAUUGCUCAGCCUAAAACUCAAGUCACGACCCCAACUUCCCAACCAUGUAACUUCCACCUCAAACAUAUUUUGGACUUGGUUCUUUUUACAUUGUGUUCUACUCCAUGAAGAGAUCAUUUGACUCAAAUAAAAAUGUAAAACACACAAGUGGAUUGAAGCUGGAUCAAGCAUGAACAUGGUAACCUGCGUUAUUCUUGGAUUCACCUUCUCCCCCCUCCCCCCUUUCCAUGAUCUAUCAGACGCCUUGUGGCAUUGCAUGAUGAGUAUUGAAAAAAGAAAAUAGCCCAUAAAAUAGAGAGAAGCGGGACUCUAUUGAUGGUUUCAAGUUACUCAAAAAUCGUAGAGUAUUAUUAUAAGGUAUUUUUAAGUAAUAAUUUUACAUUAUUUAGGCUCAACUUUGUGUUUAUUACAAUUUAGAUAUUUUAUAAAUUAUAGUUUAAUUUGGUGGCCACCCCUAUCUUUGUAAUCUGGUUCCACCACUGACAAAGUUCAUACAAAGCUUUGCUCGUUCUUUAAAUGAGCUUCUGUAAGGGGCAAUGAGAUUGACCCUGUGGAUUAGUCGAUCGUAAAAUAAAAUACCAAACUUUCAAAUAUAUAUAUAUAUAUAUAUAUAACAAAACAUGUCCCUUUUCUAUCAUGAAAGAUUGAAAACUUACAUAAAAAAUAUUGAGUCCUAACCAUUAGAAUUUAUUAAAAAGGCAAAUGGGGUAUUAAGAAAAUGUAUCAAAGAGGCAAAACACACGUCGAUCUAUUCACUUGACAUUUCUUUGGUGUGUAAAAGGGACAAAUAAAAUUUAUUAAUCUACUAUAAGUUAAAAAUAUUUAAUUGUUUUUAAUAUUGCAUAAGCUUUACACACUAUAAAAUGAACAAAGUAUAUUCUAUUUAUUAUAUACAAAAGUAAAAAGAAAAUAUGACUAAACCUCUCAAAUUUGUUAAUGCUAUAAUUUUAUUUAUUUCUCUAUUCCUUCUUUCAAAGAAGACUUGUGGUAAACCAUUUCCCCCUCUAUAAAUUUUCGUCUUUAUUAUGUAGUACUUAAUACAAUUUUUUAUUUCAUUUUAAUAUCAUUAAUUUAUUCUACUUUCACAGAGGCAGUUGUUAGAUGUGAAAAGGAUGAAGAUUGUCCAAUAUCUGGCUUUGAGCCUUUAAUUUUUAAGUGCAUUAACAAUUUAUGUGAAGCAGUUAAAAAGGAUCCAAAAGCGCCUAUAGUUUUUACUUAGUUAUGAUUUUGUAUUCUAAAAUAUUAUUAAUGAAAUAAAAUAAAAUAAUAAAGAUUACUAUAAUCAUGUUUUCUCAUUCUCUCUUAAUUUCAGAGGUAUACCAUGCCCUUUAAAUUUGAGAUAUUAUUAAUGAAUUUUGUUAUAAUUAAAACAUA
This 5001-nucleotide long non-coding RNA is filed under the name Lathyrus oleraceus (garden pea). Its description in RNAcentral is "Pisum sativum (pea) long non-coding RNA (PSAT_LNC019473)". The record is from RNAcentral. Lineage: Eukaryota; Viridiplantae; Streptophyta; Magnoliopsida; Fabales; Fabaceae.